AAGAACUUAGUUAAAAAAUAACAUCAAUAUGUCAAAUUGAAAUUAAUCACUCUAUUAGUUUUUA
RNAcentral lists this transfer RNA (64 nucleotides) under Tenebrionoidea sp. 10 KM-2017. Its description in RNAcentral is "tRNA-Asp". The record is from RNAcentral. Lineage: Eukaryota; Metazoa; Arthropoda; Insecta; Coleoptera.